UCCCUGCUUUUGUCUGCAUCCAUCUGUGACAUAGACCCAAAACAACUCAUUACCCUACUUGCUUCCCUCUUUGGAAUGCUGUCAGAAAUAAUGUUGGAAAGUGACUGGGGCUCCUUGAAAGGGCCUUGAGAAAUACCAUCAGAAAGAGUCAGGUUAUCACUAUCAGUGCAUUCUAGCUUCUUAUUCUUCUUUCUUUUCCAUCUGUCUUUCAGACCCCAGUCUAAUAAGAAAAGCCAGCUUGGUUUCAUGGUGGCUUGUUGAAUCCAAUAAUCUUCUUCUGGGGAUGUUAGUACAAUGUAUCCAUGGCCCUGACUUUCCCUAGCCUAAGAAACACUGGAUUUCAAACAUUAACAAGUCAGGUUAACCUGUGGCACCUCUUCAGGAGUAAAUGACAGGAGGAUGAAUGACAGAAUCACCUAUCAGUAAUGGAAACACCAUAAUGGAGCUCUUCUAUUCUGCAAUGAAAACAUCAUAAAUGGACAAAUUGCAAAAGAAAUCCAACAUCCAAAGCACGACAAUGGACAUCCGGUUGGAUGCUACAGCUGUUGCUCAAAACUGAUCAAUGUUUAAUUUAAUGGAUGGUCAAGUGGCUAAUUUAAUGAGGUUGUAAAAAAAAAGAUAGCCUCCGGGAAAAAAAAAAAGAAAGGAGAGGAGGAAAAAAGGAAGGAGAGAAUUAGGAAGGUAAGGAAUCCUUAUCUGGUAACCAUUUUGUAAAAUUCCUUUAGAUAAAAAGUAAUAAAUUUGGAACCUCAAGGUAUAAUGAUUGUUUUAAUCUUACACAAUAAAAGGAAGUGAGUCAUUUUGAAGGCAUCAUUGCCAGCUGUUAUCUAAUGGAAUAGAUGCCUUUGGAACAGCAUUUUGAGGACAAGAAACAGGCAGAAAUCGAUGAGGAAAGGUUCAAACUUCUGACCCCAAACAAGUCUAUUAUGUUAUCAGGACAAUGAGAUGUUAAAUGGCAUUUAUGAUAUUAUGAAACAUUAAAUGACAUAAAGGACAUACUAUUAGUACUAGUCAGAGGCAAGACCUGAAUUUAGACUUUCUUUAUUCCAAGACCAGCCCUCUACUCACUAUGGCAAACUGACUUUCCAAAAGAAAACUAGUAUGUCCUUUAAAAAGAGAUGUUUCUUUGAUAUUCUAAUUGACAUUGUUAUAUAUUUACUGUGUGCUAUUUUGGUCAAAUAAGUGCAUUUUAUAUAUUGUUAUCUUUCUUCUCUAUGUCCCCUCAAUUUUUAAAACCCGUGUAAGCCUUCAAAACCUACUUCCAAACCACCCAAUUAAAAUUUGCCAUUUGAAAAAUGUUCAUUUCUGAAGUUCAACUAGGUGUUUUAAGAUGAAAAAAGUUACUCUCCUUAGCUUAAAGAAGAGUUGUCUUUAAAACUCCUAAAUAUAUAAUAAUGCUGAAAGAAAAGCAAUAAUUCUACAACAGAAAGGAAUUGAGGAGAUUUAGCUGUAUUCAAUCCAGCUUAAAAUAAAGUUACAGUCUUGUCCUUUCCUAUGGCUUAUGUCUCUGACAGCAAACAUAAUUAAAGCCAUAGAGAGAGAAAAUCUCCAGUUGCUCUGAACCAUUGCAAGUUGACAACAAGAAAAUAAUGCCAAGGCUCCCCACCCUCCCCUAAGCACUUAUUCUUUUCACAGUCCCUUCUCUUUUCUCUGUCACUUUUAAUAGUAGAUAUAAAUAUACAACUAACAUGAAUCACCAGGAAAGCAAGAGGGAGAGAACAAUUAAGGGAUUUCUUUCUUGGUUUUGUUUUGGUUUUGCUGUAUUAUACUUCAGUGUCACAUACCUAUAGCCAUCAGAAAGGUAUGAUUUUCUCCAAGGCCCUGAACAGAUCCAACACAGUAGUAUUGGCAUCUAUCCUACUAUCCCAGGAUGCUACAUGGUUUCGACCUCUUCUUUCUCCAAGUAAGAUGACUAUCAAUUUGGUUAUCCCAUGGGACCAGUGAGAUUCCCAGACUUGUUCCCUUCAAAGAUCAGUAAUUUCAGUAUGACCGCUUGCCUUAGAAUCCGGAAUAGUGUUAGGGGAAAGUGAUUCCAAGGAAAAGAAAUAAAGUUGAUUUUCAUUAA
Molecule: non-coding RNA, 2065 nt
Organism: Monodelphis domestica (gray short-tailed opossum)
Lineage: Eukaryota; Metazoa; Chordata; Mammalia; Didelphimorphia; Didelphidae
Source: RefSeq, a predicted model, not a curated record